CCCCGGUAAACGGCGGCCGUAACUAUAACGGUCCUAAGGUAGCGAAAUUCCUUGUCGGGUAAGUUCCGACCUGCACGAAUGGCGUAAUGAUGGCCAGGCUGUCUCCACCCGAGACUCAGUGAAAUUGAACUCGCUGUGAAGAUGCAGUGUACCCGCGGCAAGACGGAAAGACCCCGUGAACCUUUACUAUAGCUUGACACUGAACAUUGAGCCUUGAUGUGUAGGAUAGGUGGGAGGCUUUGAAGUGUGGACGCCAGUCUGCAUGGAGCCGACCUUGAAAUACCACCCUUUAAUGUUUGAUGUUCUAACGUGGACCCGUAAUCCGGGUUGCGGACAGUGUCUGGUGGGUAGUUUGACUGGGGCGGUCUCCUCCUAAAGAGUAACGGAGGAGCACGAAGGUUGGCUAAUCCUGGUCGGACAUCAGGAGGUUAGUGCAAUGGCAUAAGCCAGCUUGACUGCGAGCGUGACGGCGCGAGCAGGUGCGAAAGCAGGUCAUAGUGAUCCGGUGGUUCUGAAUGGAAGGGCCAUCGCUCAACGGAUAAAAGGUACUCCGGGGAUAACAGGCUGAUACCGCCCAAGAGUUCAUAUCGACGGCGGUGUUUGGCACCUCGAUGUCGGCUCAUCACAUCCUGGGGCUGAAGUAGGUCCCAAGGGUAUGGCUGUUCGCCAUUUAAAGUGGUACGCGAGCUGGGUUUAGAACGUCGUGAGACAGUUCGGUCCCUAUCUGCCGUGGGCGCUGGAGAACUGAGGGGGGCUGCUCCUAGUACGAGAGGACCGGAGUGGACGCAUCACUGGUGUUCGGGUUGUCAUGCCAAUGGCACUGCCCGGUAGCUAAAUGCGGAAGAGAUAAGUGCUGAAAGCAUCUAAGCACGAAACUUGCCCCGAGAUGAGUUCUCCCUGAGACUUAGA
This 909-nucleotide ribosomal RNA is filed under the name Salmonella enterica. Its description in RNAcentral is "partial 23S ribosomal RNA". It matches the Rfam family "Bacterial large subunit ribosomal RNA", at positions 1918 to 2824 of the family's 2925-position model. RNAcentral also lists the same sequence under 4 other names. Lineage: Bacteria; Pseudomonadati; Pseudomonadota; Gammaproteobacteria; Enterobacterales; Enterobacteriaceae. The record is from RNAcentral.